AUGRACUUCUGGUUCAUGCGGGAAGUGAUGAAUGGGGUUUUCACUUUUCUUAGUGAGACGUGUCACUCUCCUGUUACGCACGACACGUAACCCAUCUGAUC
Small nucleolar RNA from Exaiptasia diaphana, 101 nucleotides. RefSeq annotates it as small nucleolar RNA U13. The record is from RefSeq and is a predicted model, not a curated record. NCBI's taxonomy places the organism in Eukaryota, Metazoa, Cnidaria, Anthozoa, Actiniaria, Aiptasiidae. The transcript has a single exon.